GCGCGCGGUCACGGGGCUCGCUCCCGAGGGGCAGGUCGGGGCUGGGAGCGGGAGCCGGGGUCGGGGUGGCGGCGGCGGCCUGGGCCGCGAGGUCGACGCCCGCUGCUGCAGCGGCAGAGGCCGAAGGACCUGCCGCGGCUCUGUCGCCGGAGAGGGAGGGCCCCGCUGCCGUCGGUGAAACCAGCCCAGAGAAGUUACGGGAUUUGCCCCUGGGUCUCCUGCCCAGCAAGCCAGCGCUGUGACCCAGGUGUGGGGGAUGAUGGUGAAACCUCUCACUCACAUGUGAAGGCUGGAGUGCAUUGGUGCGAUCUUGGCUCACUGCAACCUCCAUCUCCCAGCUGCUCUCCCUGAGCCUCGAU
Molecule: small RNA, 359 nt
Filed under: Pongo abelii (Sumatran orangutan)
Lineage: Eukaryota; Metazoa; Chordata; Mammalia; Primates; Hominidae
Description: processed transcript
Source: RNAcentral